This 253-nucleotide ribosomal RNA is filed under the name uncultured bacterium. RNAcentral describes it as "partial 16S ribosomal RNA". It matches the Rfam family "Bacterial small subunit ribosomal RNA", at positions 524 to 776 of the family's 1533-position model. The record is from RNAcentral.
UACGGGGGGAGCAAGCGUUGUUCGGAUUUACUGGGCGUAAAGCGUGCGUAGGCGGUGUCUUAAGUUUGUUGUGAAAUCUCCCGGCUUAACCGGGAGGGUGCGGCGAAUACUGAGAUGCUGGAGUGCCGGAGAGGUAAGCGGAAUUCCUGGUGUAGCGGUGAAAUGCGUAGAUAUCAGGAGGAACACCUGCGGUGUAGACGGCUUACUGGACGGUAACUGACGCUGAGGCACGAAAGCGUGGGUAGCAAACAGG